GACCGCCGGUGACAAACCGGAGGAAGGUGGGGAUGACGUCAAGUCCUCAUGGCCCUUAUGGGUAGGGCUUCACACGUCAUACAAUGGUCGGAACAGAGGGUUGCGAAGCCGCGAGGUGGAGCCAAUCCCAGAAAACCGAUCGUAGUCCGGAUUGCAGUCUGCAACUCGACUGCAUGAAGCUGGAAUCGCUAGUAAUCGC
Molecule: ribosomal RNA, 199 nt
Filed under: Anophryoides haemophila
Lineage: Eukaryota; Ciliophora; Oligohymenophorea; Philasterida; Glauconematidae
Description: partial Bacterial small subunit ribosomal RNA
Rfam family: Bacterial small subunit ribosomal RNA
Source: RNAcentral